RNAcentral lists this transfer RNA (76 nucleotides) under Felis catus (domestic cat). It matches the Rfam family "tRNA". Rfam says of the family: Transfer RNA (tRNA) molecules are approximately 80 nucleotides in length. The record is from Rfam by way of RNAcentral. RNAcentral also lists the same sequence under 2 other names. Lineage: Eukaryota; Metazoa; Chordata; Mammalia; Carnivora; Felidae.
GCUCAGUUGGUUGAACAUCUGACUUUGGCUCAGAUCAUGAUCUCAUGGUUCGUGGGUUCAAGCCCUGCAUUGGGCU